Rhododendron vialii is the source of this 1227-nucleotide RNA transcript. It is a transcript of the gene named short-chain dehydrogenase TIC 32, chloroplastic-like, with no coding region annotated. Lineage: Eukaryota; Viridiplantae; Streptophyta; Magnoliopsida; Ericales; Ericaceae. The record is from RefSeq and is a predicted model, not a curated record. The transcript is spliced from 5 exons.
ACAAAAUUUUUCGCCAAUCUCACCCGACAUCGACUUCACAGCAGCGCAAGCUGUUGUAGGCUGUAAUGAAAUGUUCGUAGCAUGCACGUUCAUGCAGAGAGAUCUAUUAUAGGAUUGGGUCGAUGUUUGAAUACAUAUGUUUGUCCACUCCAGUGCGGUGUUUGUGGAUUGGAAUGUGGUCCAUUUAAACGCAUUUAGAGAACACAGCGUUCCUUACUUGAUUAGAGAUCAUACUGUGGCACUAAAUACUUAAACGUGUGAUGUGUGGAUUGCAAUGGAUUCAAGUGAGCUUGUGGGAAUGUUCAUGGAAGGGAAACCGCGAACAAGGUCUUGACAUACCUAAGAAUGUUGUCGGGAGAGUUAUUCUAAACUUCUGCUUCAUUGGAUGUUUAUGCUUUACGAGUGACAUUGUGGAGACUGGCAAGGAUCAAGCAAGAACUGAGUUACUGAGGCUGAGUUCUGAUGUGUUUCGUGAGUUUAGCAAUGAAAACUCUACAAUGAUAAUUGAUGGUGCUUUCUGUACGGCAUGGCUAAGAACUUUCAGAAGUCAACAAGUCCUUCAGUUUUCUCCCAAGAUAACAGAUCGGGACGCAAAUCUGAUGCUCUUCAGAGACUGCAUAGUGUUUGACUGAGAGGGACAGUUUAGUCCUGUCAACCCUGGCCUUUAAAAAUUUGAGGAAGAAGGAGUGGAGAUAACUGCCAAUUCACUUAUCCUGGAAUCAUUAACACAAGUCUUUUUUGUCACCACAACACUUUUCGUGGCUUGAUGAACAUUGGUAAAUAUUUUGUGAAAAGCGUUCCACAGGUUUGUUCUCUCUCUGCGAUGUAAUGGUUCAGAAGAGAUUUUCUUGAGAAAGAAGACAAAAGUACUUUGGAUGUUUUAGCAUAUUUGCUUCCAUUCCUCAUGGUUUUAGGGAGCAGCAACCACAUGCUACAUAGCAUUGCAUCCGCAAGUUAAGGGGUUGAGCGGGGAGUAUUUUCCAACAGUAAUAUAUGAAAACAUAGCACUUUGGCAAAGGACAAAGAACUAGCGAAGAAGUUGUGGGAUUUCAGUUGGAGCUUGACGGAUCCCAAGUGAUGCCUUUGUUGAAAAUGAUCUCUGCACUGCCAGUGUGAAACUUGCCUGAGUUUUUGUGUAUGAAACCCUUUAGUAAUUGGAACUGUUUAGCAUUUGCAUUUGUUAGCUUGAAUAUCACACAGCUUAUAUUGAAGCUUACCAUUUCCACA